Long non-coding RNA from Bubalus bubalis (water buffalo), 1184 nucleotides. RefSeq lists it as uncharacterized. The transcript is spliced from 2 exons. NCBI's taxonomy places the organism in Eukaryota, Metazoa, Chordata, Mammalia, Artiodactyla, Bovidae. The record is from RefSeq and is a predicted model, not a curated record.
UGCUCGAUGAACCAGGAUGUAGUUUCUCACCAAACAUCAAGUCGGCAGAUGCUGUGAUCUUGAACUUCCUCACCUCCAGAACUGUGAGAAAUAAGUGUCUGUUGUUUGAGCUGCCCAGUUUAUGUUAUUUCUGUUACAACAGCCCCAACAGUCUAAGAACAUCCUUCAAGCUGUGACUCAGGAUCUGAGCUUAUCCAGCACUGGGAAAGAUGGGUCUUUUUGAGGAAUUCAUAUCUAGUGAAUUCCAGGUUGACUGACCAAACCUCAGCCUCAGGUGUUCCUUAUGAGCAGUGUUUUGGUGACCUUAGUCCCUGGAGUCACAGCCUCGGGAUGAAAGGAUGCCUGAAGCGGGGAGUCGACAGGCCUGGAUUGUGUCUGAGCUUCGUGGGAGGCACCCCUCUCUCCACUGGAGGCAAGUAGUUCCCCAGCCUGCGGUGAUCUCCAAUCCGAGUCUCUGACAGCACCCGGGUCCACUUUGCAGACGCACUGAUGCUUCCUCCGCUUGGGUGCCGCACCCGGGAAAGUGUGCUGCGCCGAAGAGGAAGCAAAUUCACACUUAAUUCAGGUUAAAACUGAGCUGUGCUGAAAGUAACGGGAUGGAGUGACAGGGAUCCGCACACACCUCCAGGAGACCCCAGUGCUCCCUGCCUUUCACUUCUCUUGUGCUUCCCACAGCUCGUGUCAGAUUCCCUGGACCUUCAGCUCCGCGCACGUGCACCUGGGCGGCCCCACCGCUGUCGGGGGUGUGUUACCUAAAACCAGGCGCUGACCUCAGGUCAGGGGCUCUUGAGUGUUUCAUCUCUCUGCUGUUCAUAGCUAGCUGGGUGGCCUCUGAAAUAUUAUUUAAUUUCUCUGGGUUCUGAUUUCCUCAAUUGUGUGAUACUCAGUGACCUCGCCGGGACAUUUCACUGCUUAUGAAAAAUGGUGUCUUUUGAAUGUUUCGUCUGUACCUAGAAGAAUUUACGGGGGUGGGGGUGGAGUUGGGUUCUUGCUUAGGGGGUGAUCCUAUAACUCUAGGGUCACAGUUUAUCUUCUCAACUAGGGCAAAGACUGUAACUAUAGAAGAUUAUACCUUAAGAAGGAAAGUUUCUCCCUUUCUAAAAAUGAAAGUUGUGAAACUUACAUUUGUCAUUUUAUCCUGAUUGCUCAGAGUCAAAUAUAAAUGUAAUUGCCAAUUAUGUCAA